Melanotaenia boesemani (Boeseman's rainbowfish) is the source of this 1840-nucleotide long non-coding RNA. RefSeq lists it as uncharacterized. NCBI's taxonomy places the organism in Eukaryota, Metazoa, Chordata, Actinopteri, Atheriniformes, Melanotaeniidae. The record is from RefSeq and is a predicted model, not a curated record. The transcript is spliced from 2 exons.
UUUGUUGCUGGAUGAUAGAAUUUGAUAGAAAAACAAGCUGAAGUGACUCAAGAGUGGGAAUCGGGAUGUUCUCUUCAGCGGUGUCGUGUGGCAGCAAAGGCGCGGAAAAAAUGACUCCUUUCCCCGGCUGUCAGAGCCCGACAGGAAUCCGUUACUUCUCGGGGGUUUGAAAAAAAGGAAAGAGGAAUCAUUGCAAACGCACCUUUCUCCACCUGCGCAGAGGAGAAGCCCCCUGAAACGCACGCCACCUAUCUUCACGGGAGGGGAUAAUUGAGGAGAGCAAAAAAACGUGAGCAUCUUCUGGGUUGAAGUUUUUUUUCUCCCUCCCUCUCCUUCUUCUUUCUCUCUCCCCCUUCUCCUCCUCCCUUUUUCUUUCCCUCACUCUCCUCUCUCUUUCACCAUCUCUUCUGUUUUUUGAGCGAAACCAACUAUGUCGGGGCUUGACGCGGAGAAAAGAACAGGCGACAGUUUUUUUUUUUUUUUUUUUUUUUUUUCCUUUCUUUACUUUUUUAAAAUAUUAUUAUUGGAGGGGAUAAACUUCAUCCUCACCGGCUGCUGUCAUGUAAGGACUGUUUUCUCUAUAUUUAUCCAUUUCCACUGCGUUUAAUUUACAGAAAAGACCGGAUGCCGGAGUUUUCAGCCACAAUUCUUCAUUAUUGUAAUAGGCAGCGACUGCAAAAAGGUUUUGGGGAUGUUCAGUUUCUAUCUACGCUGCAAAAAGUGUCCGUGUGGGGCAUUUUUUUAUUUAUUGUAUAAGUCUUUAUUUUUACUUUAAAAGUAACGUAUUUUAUUUUUAUUGUUAUUAUUUAUUGUGAUUUCUAAUGUUUUAAGAAAAUGAAUGUUAAAAGAAAUCUUUUUAAACGUUACAAAGCGCACUUAGUAAUAUUUUAAUCUGAUUCUGAUGGAAUGAUAGGGUCAGAGAAGUAAAAAUAAAUUAAAUUAAAUUAAAUUAAAUUCAAAAAAGAAUAAAUACUGGUGAUUAAUUUUAAAAAGAGAAAAAGAGCAUCAUGCUCUUUUCUCACCUGUGAUGUACCUGCGCAGCAUCAGCAGGUACACUUAAAAAGGUGUCCACAUAAAAAAACAUAUGUGUAUAUGUACAUUUACAGCCAAAUUCAGGAGACAAUAUAUUCCUAUAUUGAUUUAUUCAUUUUGGGUUUUGCUCAUUUGCCACUAAAUAACCCACUAAAGCCAUCUGAAAAUAAAUAAUGUUGACAUUACACAAGUCUGAGAGCAAUGGCUCAUGUCUGACGGCACUAAAAUGAGCUGAAAAAAUGUGAAAAAUAGCAUGAAGUGAAAUAAAGUGAAGGCAGCGAUGCUGCGGCUUCCCGUAGGGAUAUUACAGGAAAAUUCCAGGGUUAUUAGGAUUUAGUUUUAUUGUUAUUAUUCUUCUUCGUUCUAUACAUAGAAUGAAUUUAUUAAAGAAGUCAACCAUCUCAGCCAUGCCUGACUUGUAACACACACACACAGGGAGAGAGAGAACGAGAGAGAGAGAGAGAGAGAGAGAGAGAGAGAGAGAGGAAGCUCCACCUUUGCGGCGCCCUGAUUGGUUAUGUAAAUAAAGUAUUAUUUUGUGUCCUGUCCUCCUGCAGUUCGCCACUCUAUGGCUAAUUAAAUCAUCAAUCAAGAGGCUGAACUGGCUGAUGCACCCCCCCACCCCCCAACACACCUCCCCCUUAUCAGACAAAAAGAUGCAGCAGAAAAGAAAUGACACAGUGACAAGCUUUUCCUUUCUGCUUGGAGUUUUUGUGCGUUAUUAUUAAAGAAAUGUGUCCUAUAACUUUUCUUCCUCAUUUUUCUCUUUCUGUGACAGCAGGAGUGCUCGGAGGCGCAAAAGUGCCCC